AUCCAGUUGACGAGUCCCAAACUGGACGAAACGUGCGUCCUGGAU
Molecule: non-coding RNA, 45 nt
Organism: Schistosoma mansoni
Lineage: Eukaryota; Metazoa; Platyhelminthes; Trematoda; Strigeidida; Schistosomatidae
Source: Rfam